CCUACGGGGGGCAGCAGUGAGGAAUAUUGGUCAAUGGGCGAGAGCCUGAACCAGCCAAGUCGCGUGAAGGAUGAAGGAUCUAUGGUUUGUAAACUUCUUUUAUAUGGGAAUAAAGUGAGGAACGUGUUCCUUUUUGUAUGUACCAUAUGAAUAAGCAUCGGCUAACUCCGUGCCAGCAGCCGCGGUAAUACGGAGGAUGCGAGCGUUAUCCGGAUUUAUUGGGUUUAAAGGGUGCGUAGGUGGUUAAUUAAGUCACCGGUGAAAGUUUGUGGCUCAACCAUAAAAUUGCCGUUGAAACUGGACGCCUUGAGUUCACAACAGGCAGGCGGAAUUCGUGGUGUAGCGGUGAAAUGCAUAGAUAUCACGAGGAACCCCGAUUGCGAAGGCAGCCUGCCGGGGUGCGACUGACGCUGAGGCUCGAAGGUGCGGGUAUCAAACAGGAUUAGAUACCCGUGUAGUC
RNAcentral lists this ribosomal RNA (460 nucleotides) under uncultured bacterium. RNAcentral's name for it is "partial 16S ribosomal RNA". It matches the Rfam family "Bacterial small subunit ribosomal RNA", at positions 338 to 795 of the family's 1533-position model. The record is from RNAcentral.